This 237-nucleotide unclassified non-coding RNA is filed under the name Hevea brasiliensis (rubber tree). Lineage: Eukaryota; Viridiplantae; Streptophyta; Magnoliopsida; Malpighiales; Euphorbiaceae. The record is from RNAcentral.
UGUGCAUUCCAGGCCUUCAGGGUGAAGUAACAAUCUCCUCGAUCGGCAAGGAGAAAAAUGGGUAGACCUCCAGGCUUCGAUUUGAAGGAGAUAUCAACCUCAUCGAAUCCCUUGCAGGCCUUCUGGUUGGCUUUUGGAUAAAUCACAGUGCCAACUAAAGUCCCUCCAUACUGAGGAACCCCAAAAUUCCCAAUAGCACAUUCAUACACCCCCUUCACUGAAUCUGGCAAAGUAACU